Molecule: ribosomal RNA, 775 nt
Filed under: uncultured Neocallimastigales
Lineage: Eukaryota; Fungi; Neocallimastigomycota; Neocallimastigomycetes; Neocallimastigales
Description: partial large subunit ribosomal RNA
Rfam family: Eukaryotic large subunit ribosomal RNA
Source: RNAcentral
GUAGUCUCGCACAGAUGCAUAUCAAUAAGCGGAGGAAAAGAAACUAACAAGGAUUCCCCUAGUAACGGCGAGUGAAGCGGGAAGAGCUCAAAUUUGAAAUCUUAAAGGGUUUCCCUUUACGAAUUGUAGUUUAAAGAAGUGUUUUCUGUUGAGGUUUUGGUAAAAGUUCUUUGGAAUAGGACAUCAUAGAGGGUGAGAAUCCCGUAUUUGACCUUUACUUUCAACUUUGUGAUACACUUUCAAAGAGUCGGAUUGUUUGGGAAUGCAGUCCAAAAUGGGUGGUAAAUUUCAUCUAAAGCUAAAUAUUGGCGAGAGACCGAUAGCGAACAAGUACCGUGAGGGAAAGAUGAAAAGAACUUUGAAAAGAGAGUUAAACAGUACGUGAAAUUGUCAAAAGGGGAAGCGUUUGACACCAGUGUUGUUUUUCUGAAAAUCAAUUAAAGAACUGUUUAUGCUAAGUUGUUUAGACUUUAUCAGCUAUCUGUUUAGUUUUGAGCUUUUCUUUAAUGCACUUUUCAGUUAACAAGUCAACAUCAAUUUCUUUUGCUGUAAAAAAGCUUGAGGAAGGUGGCUUGAGAUUCGUCUUAAGUGUUUAUAGCCUCUUGCCUAUGCAGUCGGAGAGAUUGAGGUCUGCAGCGUAGAUCCUUCGGGGCUAAAUGCAUUUGUGCUAAGUUAUAGCAUUUUAUAGACAACUUGUUGACUAUGAUUUGUCUUGUAGCUUACUCGCUUAUGUUAUUUUACCUACGCUUAGGAUGUUGAUCUGUAGUGCGUGCGC